GGGUUGUGAGGUUAAGCGACUAAGCGUACACGGUGGAUGCCCUGGCAGUCAGAGGCGAUGAAGGACGUGCUAAUCUGCGAUAAGCGUCGGUAAGGUGAUAUGAACCGUUAUAACCGGCGAUUUCCGAAUGGGGAAACCCAGUGUGAUUCGUCACACUAUCAUUAACUGAAUCCAUAGGUUAAUGAGGCGAACCGGGGGAACUGAAACAUCUAAGUACCCCGAGGAAAAGAAAUCAACCGAGAUUCCCCCAGUAGCGGCGAGCGAACGGGGAGCAGCCCAGAGCCUGAAUCAGUGUGUGUGUUAGUGG
Molecule: ribosomal RNA, 307 nt
Filed under: Escherichia coli
Lineage: Bacteria; Pseudomonadati; Pseudomonadota; Gammaproteobacteria; Enterobacterales; Enterobacteriaceae
Description: partial 23S ribosomal RNA
Rfam family: Bacterial large subunit ribosomal RNA
Source: RNAcentral